AGGAGCCGUGUGCGUUAAUAGCGCAAGCACGGUUCUGAGAGGGGGGAGAAGCACAAUUUACCGUAAGGUAAAAAGGCUCUCUUCUACUCGAC
Non-coding RNA from Bacillus sp. FJAT-27916, 92 nucleotides. NCBI's taxonomy places the organism in Bacteria, Bacillati, Bacillota, Bacilli, Caryophanales, Bacillaceae. The record is from Rfam.